RNAcentral lists this transfer RNA (75 nucleotides) under Agrobacterium rubi. Its description in RNAcentral is "tRNA-Gln". It matches the Rfam family "tRNA". From Rfam's summary of the family: Transfer RNA (tRNA) molecules are approximately 80 nucleotides in length. Their secondary structure includes four short double-helical elements and three loops (D, anti-codon, and T loops). The record is from RNAcentral. Lineage: Bacteria; Pseudomonadati; Pseudomonadota; Alphaproteobacteria; Hyphomicrobiales; Rhizobiaceae.
UGAGGCUUGGCCAAGCGGUAAGGCAUCGCACUUUGAAUGCGACGAUCGCAGGUUCGAAUCCUGCAGCCUCAGCCA